AGGAAACGGUUAAAGGGGAAAACUGAUCCAGGGACUAACUCUGUCUCAGGGGCCAGAGCUGUAAGCCAAAAACGAAGAACAUGGAGACAUGGAGCCACUGGAAGUAAAAGAGCAGGCCCGCCAGCUAGCAAGAUGCUUCUUGUCGGUAGCUUUCAGGAGGUUUUGUAAAGGUACGACCCGCAAGCACACACUGAACAGAGAAAGGGAAUGCUCUUGUCUGAGAAAGAAGCCAGGCUUUCUAAAUGCACAUCUGCCGCGGACACCCGGCCCUCAGUUCCGUUUUCGUUCCCAUACGACUUCUUCGAGAAAGGUUUUUAAAGAAUCUGAAGAUAACCUGGUGGGCUCCGGAACAAAUCCUCUUCCAUAGAAGACAUCUGAGAAAGACCUGAUUCGAAAGAAGAGACUUGAAGACUUGAGAAACUUCCUGUUGACAAUUCUGUACCACACGGCCUGGACGCCCGGAAGACGCAGCUGGCAGCCACUGUCCACAGCCCACGGAGGUUCUUAGGGAAGUUUCUAGAAGACCUUGUGCUUUAGAGAGUUGUGAAAACGCAAGUGUUGUUAGUUCUUGAGAGGGACUUCCUUCCAAGCAGAAGAUGAACUGUGUGUGGCUCUGGUUGCCAAUUUGGCAGAAUCACAGUGGAAGAUGUGAACAGUGGUAAGAGAGCUGUCAGCACGUCAGCAGAGUCUCCUGAAGGAGUUAGGCCCUGGGGUCAGAUGAUUCUCCAGCUCUCAUCUUUGCCACAAAGGGGCUGCCAUGAUCCAAACACAGCGGCUUCUCCAAACACAGAGGAUCUGUCGGUUUGGCUCUACAGCUUAUGUGGGAGCGAGGGUGAUUUGCAGGAGGUAAAGGAGGAUCCCUCUCAGCAUCCUGCUAUCGGUAGUGAUCUCUCAGCAUAAAUCAGCUUCUCAGGCAGAGCUCAGGCUGCUAAAGAGAAGGGAGGGUUCUCUCCAAAAACAGAGUCUUUUUGGCAGAGAUGGUGGACCUGGCAUUGUAAAGAACGGGUUAUGAGUUGAUGAAUUAUUUAUAACGGAUUUUUUUAAAGCACUUGUUGCUAGACUCUGACGCUUUCCUAUCUAAACACCUCCUCUUCUCUGCCUCCACCCUCACCAGAUCCCCCUGUCCUGGGUCCUGUCUCCUCCGGAGUACCUUGGGCUGGGCUGCUUCAUUGUAUUACAAACACGUUAAUCCCCUUAUGCUCAGGAUGCAAAUGCGAUGGAGCCAAGGUCUGGGAAGCUAUGCAAAACAAUCUCUUAAGAAGCCUUUUCCCUUUUCCCUAAUGCCAGGACAGUACAAGAUAGCAGAUUUAGAAUUUAAGACUCGGAGGGUGCGCAAACAUCGAUCAUGAAAAUCAAACAACGGUCCAAUCAUGGGGUAAAAUAUAGACUCUGUAUUUAUGGCUUGGUUGUAUCCGCUGGGCAUGUCCAGCCUCACCAUAUAUUGUUGACAGAUCCGGUGGCAGUUCUCGUGUCGUUUAUUCCUUUUCUCAAUUUUCUGGCAUUGGCUCGAUCUAUAGUCGUGGGCAGUAAAUUACAGGGGUGAGCCUGGUUUCUAACCCUCUGGCUAGAGAGUUCCAAUUACCUGGCUAGGCAAGCUAAAUAUUUCAUUUUAAGAGACAUCAAAAUCGUAACAAGAAGAUCAUUUGAAUGAAAUUAAAUGCCAGUGGACUAGACUCACCAGCACCUCUGCGUGCGACAGCGUAUGAUAGAGUGGAGAAAACAAAGUCCCGACAGCAAACUGGCUUCUCUGACCGAGGUGAGCUACACCUUCUCUGUGAGUCCAGUUACUCUUUCUCCAGCCCAACCCAACAAUCUCAAGACUCUGUGCCUCUCAAGAUGAUUUUUUCUUCUUCU
Molecule: long non-coding RNA, 1854 nt
Filed under: Sus scrofa (pig)
Lineage: Eukaryota; Metazoa; Chordata; Mammalia; Artiodactyla; Suidae
Description: lncRNA (ENSSSCG00060062732.1)
Source: RNAcentral